CCUACGGGGGGCAGCAGUGAGGAAUAUUGGUCAAUGGACGAGAGUCUGAACCAGCCACGUAGCGUGAAGGAUGACUGCUCUAUGGGUUGUAAACUUCUUUUAUAAAGGAAUAAAACGAGGCACGUGUGCCUUUUUGCAUGUACUUUAUGAAUAAGGAUCGGCUAACUCCGUGCCAGCAGCCGCGGUAAUACGGAGGAACCGAGCGUUAUCCGGAUUUAUUGGGUUUAAAGGGAGCGUAGAUGGGUUGUUAAGUCAGUUGUGAAAGUUUGCGGCUCAACCGUAAAAUUGCAAUUGAUACUGGCAGUCUAGAGUACAGUUGAGGUAGGCGGAAUUCGUGGUGUAGCGGUGAAAUGCUUAGAUAUCACGAAGAACCCCGAUUGCGAAGGCAGCUUACUAAACUGUGACUGACAUUGAUGCUCGAAAGUGUGGGUAUCAAACAGGAUUAGAUACCCUUGUAGUC
Molecule: ribosomal RNA, 460 nt
Filed under: uncultured bacterium
Lineage: Bacteria
Description: partial 16S ribosomal RNA
Rfam family: Bacterial small subunit ribosomal RNA
Source: RNAcentral